GGCUCUCAGCGCGUUUGCUGAGCGGCUGUGUUUGCUGCUUUGGUUCCCCAUCCGUGUGCUUUAGGGAUUCCCGUCCCCUGAAACUCUGUCCCCAAGGCUUCCAAUAUGAUCCCGAAUGACUCAUGAAUCUGUUCCUCUAGUGCUGACCCCUCGUUCCAUCUGUGUUUCCAACUAACCAUUCGUAAAACAAAGUCUUGCAGGCAUCCCAGCUCCACGCGUCUCAGGGCAAGGCCCUGCCUUCUCUUUCAUGCCAGGUCCGCUCGGGGUCCCCAACCAGGCUGACCAUGUGCCUUCACCCACUGGGUAGAGACCUUGGGGAAAACCUGGGCUCUUCCCUGCUCCCUCAUGUACCCUCGGCCUGCAGCCGGUCAGCCCCCAACCCUGACCAGGAUCCAGGCCAGGGGUCUGGGGCCUGUGUUCAGCCCCCCACUCCAGAGCACAGACCCUGAGCCUCAGACCCCUCUCUAGUGAGGCCCCUCCUUUCACCUGAGGGCACGGCUCUGGCUGGUGCUGGUCAGGUCCCUGACACUGUAGCGGGCUCACCCUGUCCCCCAUCGCUCCCACCCUGUGCCCCACCAGCCCCCCUCCACAUUCUCCAGCGUUAUCUGUCUGAAAUCCAAAUUUCGUCCCAUGACCCCACUCAUAAAAGCCACUGUUGGUUCCCUGUGCAUCCUUUGGUCUGAGCGCCUCACCAAGCGUGAAAUCCCCUUCUCGGUCUUUCCCUGGCCUCCACCCCCCCAUUCUGUGGCCUCUACAGCCAGCGCACCUCAGCCUCCUGGCCUCCUGGACAUGGCGACGUGGCAGGCUUGGCACAGGCCACGCCGGGCCUAUGACCCCCUCCCUCCCCUUUGCUUAGUGACAUCUUUUCAUCCUUUACCUUUCGGCUCUAAGCCACAUCCUCUGUGAAGUCUUUCAAAGAGGCCCCGCCCACCAACAUACCUCGGAGCUCUGUGGCUAUAAUCUGGGUGGACGCACUGUUUUUCUUUUGGGGAGUGUGGAAUUAGGUUUUACUUAUUUAUUGUUUAUUAUUAUUGUUAACUUUUUAAAAUAGAGACACUGGGAAUUGAACCCAAGACCUCGUGCAUGCUAAGCAUGCUCUCUGCCGCUGAGCUCUACCCUCCCCCCACAACGCCCUCCCCGCACAAGUGGACGCGUUUCUGAAUCAGAAGAGCAGAUGGGCAGGUCCAACAGCCCAGCCUGCGCUCCUGGAGACAGGAGGGAACAAAGCGCAGGAGGAGCUCAUGAGAUGGUUCCUUGUUCCCUCUCUCCGCCCUGUGGAGGGGCCAGGAAGGUCCUUCCAAAGCAGGGAGCUGUUGGUGCUCCCUGUAUCUGCCCAGCGGCUGGCCCCCUGCCCAACAUGACCAGCUCAUGAAGAGCACCCCAGGCCAGAGAGUCCUGAAGAUUUGAGCGGAUCCAGACCUCAUGUCAGUAUUUGCAAGAGGAGAGAAAGGCGUCUACCCUCGAAACCUGAGGUCUGCAGUUCACACGCGCUGAGUCACCUCGUCUCCGCAGGGUCACACGUUUUGCACCUGGGAAAUUGCUGCAGAAGAUCAGACUGCGAGCUGGUGUGUCACUAAUUUAAAUACAAGUAAGAAGACUGGAAGGGGAUGGUGCGUAAACAGGGAAACUUACUGCUGAGUCUCAGACUUGUUUUCAGAGACUUGUAAUAGUCUGAUAAAUCCUCUUUCUGAUCGGUAAUGUGUUGGUGAAAUUCUUUAAAUGUUUUUUCCCGUUCUUGGAAAGUGAAAAUGAAUAUAAAUGG
Vicugna pacos (alpaca) is the source of this 1762-nucleotide non-coding RNA. The record is from RefSeq and is a predicted model, not a curated record. Lineage: Eukaryota; Metazoa; Chordata; Mammalia; Artiodactyla; Camelidae.